This 1035-nucleotide long non-coding RNA is filed under the name Mus musculus (house mouse). Its description in RNAcentral is "long non-coding RNA chr15:98918398-98919433". The record is from RNAcentral. Lineage: Eukaryota; Metazoa; Chordata; Mammalia; Rodentia; Muridae.
CUUGUGGUCCACGGCUGAGAUGUGAGGGUUGGUUCCAGGAUGUGUAUCCGUCAGGAUUUUAGUUUAAACGAAUAAGGUUGGGAUCAGGUCAGCCCGUCGAGAAGAUGUAAGCACCACGGGGUCUUCUGAAGGGACGGCUGCCUGUAACCCAAAGGUCCAUAGCGUUUUCUUUUCUUUUUCUUUAUUUUUAUUUUUGGUUUUUCGAGAUAGGGUUUCUCUGUGUAGCCCUGGCUGUCCUGGAUCUCACUCUGUAGACCAGGCUGGUCUCGAACUCAGAAAUCCGCCUGCCUCUGCCUCCCAAGUGCUGGGAUUAGUGGCUUGUGCCACCACUGCCCGAUGCGUUUUUUUAUUUGUUAUUGGAGUUUCCCUGCCACUCCAGACAGCUUUCACACAGUUAUUUUUGUGGAAGGCCUAGGGUAUUAGAGAACAAAUAGUUAAAAAACAAACCACAACAAAAACAAAAAAACAGGAGACUUUUUAAAAAUGUCAUGAAACUUUUGUUUUGUUGAGACAGGUCUUGCGAUGCAAACCAGGCUACCCUUGAAUUCUCAGCUUCCUAGUUGAUUGCAUGUAUUACCAGGCCCAGGCUAUCCCGAAACUGAGGAAAUAUCCCAGGGAAUAUUGGUGAGUGGGUUGAGUAAAACAUUAACUCCCAAACAUUAACUCCCUGCUAUGUGCUGUUCUCUUUAUAGCCUUUAUCUAAUUUUAAUGUUUUAACAUUUUAACGUUUUAACGUUUUAAUUUGAAACUAGAAAAUAGAGGUUGGCCCAGUCCUACUUUGAGAUUCAGAAACCAUCUGGGCAUUGUGGCACACGUCUUUUAAUUCAGCACUAGGAAGGCAGAAGCAGGUGGAUCUAUAAAUUCAUGGCCAGUCUGCCCUUUACAUAAUGUUUUAGGACAACCAGAGUAACAUGGUGAGAAUUUGUCUCAAAAACAAAAUAAAUACAUCCCGUGUAUACAUUUAUGUUUAUAUAGUUGGCCCUCUGCAUUGUUGGGUUCUACAUCUGUGGGUUCAGCUAAUCUCAAACACAAAGC